CUGACAUUGAUUCAACAUCUGAAUCACGAUAUAAAUGAUCAAAAGGAUUUUGCAAAUACACAAUAUCGACAUCAGACAGGAGGACACCGUAACCAAGCUGCAAAAAUUCCCUCAAAAUUCGGAACUUCAACCCUGAGACAGCAUGGUUGCCUCCACUUUUUCCAAUAAAAUCAACAUUCUCAUCAGGGUCCCUUUUAUAAACUGGGACAUCAUUUUCCUUGCAGAACUCCACUAUAGCGUCAUCUAAAGCCACGACCAGAUAAUUGGGGAUACCCACUUUUUUAAUACUGUUGAACCAAACCUCCAACAUGGAUUUCACAUUUGAAUUAGCAAGUGCAACUAUGACCUCUUUGCCAACUGCAAUCUCUGCCAAGAGCUUUGCUAAUCUUGGGUUCACUGACUCAUCAGGCAUAACAGGAGGGUUAGUUCUCAAACUUUUGACAGUUCCAAAAGGUCCAGCUUUCUGAGGUUGACUCGACACCACCAGUUGCUCCUGUGUACGACCAUUUCCCUGCUGAGCCGCCUGAAGCUUUUGAUUUAGCUCUCUCACCUGCUUUUGCAACUCUGCAUUCUUUUCAGUCAACUUCCUAUAUUCAGAUUUCAUCAUGUUUACCCCCUCCGUGGAUUCACAGUUGGGCAAGUCAACCUGAAGAUUAGAUUUAGAAACAGGGUGACUUUGAGACCUUGGAUCGGGAGAAAAAAAUCCAUUAGGAUACAAGAAAGCAAACACACAACCCAACAAAACUCCGAUCGCAAUUGCUCCAGCAAUUCGAGAUCCUCUUAUAGAUUGACCAUACUUCUCCCUACGACCCGCCAUUUUCUCUUCACUUUUCAAGACAAAAUAUCCCUUUUUUUCUCUUUCUUUUUUUUAUAACAUGAAGUAAAG
Molecule: unclassified non-coding RNA, 886 nt
Filed under: Hevea brasiliensis (rubber tree)
Lineage: Eukaryota; Viridiplantae; Streptophyta; Magnoliopsida; Malpighiales; Euphorbiaceae
Source: RNAcentral